This 254-nucleotide ribosomal RNA is filed under the name uncultured bacterium. Its description in RNAcentral is "partial 16S ribosomal RNA". It matches the Rfam family "Bacterial small subunit ribosomal RNA", at positions 524 to 776 of the family's 1533-position model. The record is from RNAcentral.
UACGGGGGGGGCAAGCGUUGUUCGGAAUUACUGGGCGUAAAGGGCUCGUAGGUGGCCAACUAAGUCAGACGUGAAAUCCCUCGGCUUAACCGGGGAACUGCGUCCGAUACUGGAUGACUUGAGUUCGGGAGAGGGAUGCGGAAUUCCAGGUGUAGCGGUGAAAUGCGUAGAUAUCUGGAGGAACACCGGUGGAGAAGGCGACAUCCUGGACCAACACUGACGCUGAGUGAGCGAAAGCCAGGGGAGCAAACGGG